UUUGAAAUUAGCUGCAAAUGACAUUUUAGAUUCUUCGGCUCCAGGCCGGUGCCACAUGUCGUCGAGGGCCAGCCACGCAACUCCAUGAGUGCCACACUUCGACAUUGGGAAUAUUCCAACGCUUAACGAAAUAUCCCUUCAUCCCUUUCCUCAGCUCCGGUUUUUACGUUGCGGCCAUCCAAACCCACCAGAAUCUGAAGAAAAUGGCCAGAAUUCCUGGAAAUUUUUUAAAUCAUCAUAUCUUCUUCAGUUUUCAACCAAAAUCGACAAUCUUUAUAUGGAAAUGAAGCUAGGGAAGAGGAGAACACAUUCGUACCUAUUUGGGAGCCAAAAGAUGGCUAGAGGUGGUCUGAAUUUUGUCGGGAAAAGUUGGCCUAGUCGGAUCUCGUGAUUUUUCGAUUUUUCCUCGAUUUUUCACGAAACCAAAGCCAUCACUGGCUUCGUGGGGACAAGAUGAACACGAUGGUGAGGUUUGUUGGUCAAGUUUCGCUAGAAAAUUUUAUGGUUAAUGAUGGUGUGACUCGACAAAGUGAG
RNAcentral lists this long non-coding RNA (534 nucleotides) under Malus domestica (apple). RNAcentral describes it as "long non-coding RNA (MDOM_LNC016397)". The record is from RNAcentral. Lineage: Eukaryota; Viridiplantae; Streptophyta; Magnoliopsida; Rosales; Rosaceae.